UUAGUACUUUCUCUCUCUCUCUCUCUCUCUCUCUCUCUCUGUGCUUAGCAUAAGAGAAAAAAAGUAUCUCUCUCUUCCUCUAACAAGAGCACGAGUUUGUUCAUACACAGUACUAUCUUGUAGAUGAGUAUUGUACACAUUUAUCUUCUAAAACUGCCAAUGUUUCAGUCACACCAACAAAAGCAGAACUUUCAUAUUCUGAAGAUCUGGGUCGAAAACGAUUUGAUAUCUUUGCACCCUUUUUUCUUCUCUAUAAACUGAGACAUUUCUAAAUUCGUCUUCUUAGCCUUUCCCUCUCCAGUGCUUCUUUUUGUUUAAAUUUGGAACACAACAAAAGCUCCUUUGCUAGAGACACCAUGACACCCAUCAUUCUUGCAUAAAAAGAGCUUUAAUCAGGACCCUUGGCUUGAUUCGAUCUUUGUCUUGGGUGAGCUGCCCAACUUUCUCUUCAGACAGACAGUCCCAGCGUGGGUCAGAAGACACUCCCACAAGGCAAUCCUUCAUGGCCUCAGCUUCUUACAACACACAACUAUUUCUUCUACAAAUUUUGCUUUCUUAUGAUAGGACAAUAGAACCCAUCACUCAAAGGGGGGGUCUGUUUCACAAAGGAAAGCAGAAACUAGAAGAAAAAAACGCUUUGUGGUGAAGAUCAGUGGCAACAGGAGCUGUGAAGAAUGGAGAAGGCUGUGGUUGUCACAACUUGGAGAAUGCUUGUGAAGCAAAUGGGUUUCUUUGGCUUAUGUGAAGGUUGGGCUGAUUAUGGAAUAAACCCCAUUUUCAAAGUCCAAUCUUUGCAACUCGCUCUGCUCUUUCUCUUCUGCUUUGCCUUUUGAUGAUGGUGUUGGUGGUGGUGAUAUUGGCGGGACGGCUCAAUCUCUUAAUUUUAUGAUAUAAUUUUUAUUUCUUUUUCUUUUUCUUUUUAUCAUGAUGUUGUCCAUAUUGAAAGUUUAUGCAAAUGCUCUUUCUAAUGACACUAACUUGCCCCUUUGGUUUUGCAUUUGUGCCUUACUGCUUCUUGAAGAAAACCCCAAUAUUCCUUCAUAAAGCAAAGAAAGAAAAAGCAGCAGAUGAUAGAUUUUAUGCAGUAAAUAUGGGGCAGACAACUCUGUUUAGGAGUUGGUGAGUACUGAGUAAAGCUUUUAAUUUUUUGGGGUCCAUUAAUCUGCAGAGCAUUCAAUGUUACAGCACUGUUUCAUUAUCAAUUACAAAAUUUUCUGUCA
Quercus robur (English oak) is the source of this 1220-nucleotide long non-coding RNA. RefSeq lists it as uncharacterized. The record is from RefSeq and is a predicted model, not a curated record. The transcript has 4 exons. Lineage: Eukaryota; Viridiplantae; Streptophyta; Magnoliopsida; Fagales; Fagaceae.